Molecule: ribosomal RNA, 849 nt
Filed under: Acrostiba borealis
Lineage: Eukaryota; Metazoa; Arthropoda; Insecta; Coleoptera; Staphylinidae
Description: SSU rRNA
Rfam family: Eukaryotic small subunit ribosomal RNA
Source: RNAcentral
CACGGGGAGGUAGUGACGAAAAAUAACGAUACGGGACUCAUCCGAGGCCCCGUAAUCGGAAUGAGUACACUCUAAAUCCUUUUCCAAGGACCCAUUGGAGGGCAAGUCUGGUGCCAGCAGCCGCGGUAAUUCCAGCUCCAAUAGCGUAUAUUAAAGUUGUUGCGGUUAAAAAGCUCGUAGUCGAAUCUGUGUCCCGCGCCGCUGGUUCAUCGCUCGCGGUGUUCAACUGGCGUGUCUCGCGGGACGUCCUGCCGGUGGGCCGUCGAAUUGAUUUGCUUCGUGCGGUCGUUCGUAGCCCAACUCGUAUCCGCUUCGGCGGGUGCGAAUCCCAUCGCGGUGCUCUUUAUUGAGUGUCGAGGUGGGCCGGCACGUUUACUUUGAACAAAUUAGAGUGCUUAAAGCAGGCCAAUUUUGCCUGAAUAUUGUGUGCAUGGAAUAAUGGAAUAGGACCUCGGUUCUAUUUUGUUGGUUUUCGGAACCCCGAGGUAAUGAUUAAUAGGAACGGAUGGGGGCAUUCGUAUUGCGACGUUAGAGGUGAAAUUCUUGGAUCGUCGCAAGACGGACAGAAGCGAAAGCAUUUGCCAAAAACGCUUUCAUUGAUCAAGAACGAAAGUUAGAGGUUCGAAGGCGAUCAGAUACCGCCCUAGUUCUAACCAUAAACGAUGCCAGCUAGCGAUCCGCCGACGUUCCUCCGAUGACUCGGCGGGCAGCUUCCGGGAAACCAAAGCUUUUGGGUUCCGGGGGAAGUAUGGUUGCAAAGCUGAAACUUAAAGGAAUUGACGGAAGGGCACCACCAGGAGUGGAGCCUGCGGCUUAAUUUGACUCAACACGGGGAAUCUUACCAGGCCC